GAACUGAGGUGCGAUUGUGUAAAGUUGUUCAUGGAUGGACAAUGAAUACAAUUGAUCAUCGAUCGUAUAUCUAAAUUCGAAUUGUGUAAUUUUGUCCAUUCCAUGAAGACCGAAAAGUGACCGGUCGUAUAUAAUCGUUUCAUGGAUUUGCGUUUUAUUAAUGAAAAACAUUCGCUAAAACUCAUUAUUUUUUAACAAAUAACAAAUGAAAUCCAUGUUCAAAUGCAGUUUUUUUUAAUAAAAUUUUAUGAUUGCACCUUAAUAACAUACUUUUAUUCAUAAAAACAUUGAAUUCGAAUUAAAAAUUUACCUCUGCAAAUCAUAUAACCAAACGCAUAGAACGAAUGAAAUACGAGUUCCACUACCCGCCCCCAGGUGGCAUACAUACUUUAAGGCUAGGCAGGCUAAGUUGAAUACUACUCUACAAUAGGUGGCGUUAAUGGACUACGAAAAACGACGUGAAAUGCUUACUUCUUUUUAUUUAUUUAUACUUUAAUGCCAAAAUUUUAACCUAAGGCGAACUUAAUCUCACAUUUAAUAAAUUAUACAUAAAUAAGUGUUUUGAGAAGUAGUAUUUUAAUCUAUGUUCUGUGAAUGACAAGUGUUAUCUGUCAAGUGUCAAAAAACUUGAAAAACUUUUACGAAGUUUUUGAAUUAUGUUAAAUUUGUUUAUAAACACAAGUAAGUAUAGAUUAUUACACUAAAUUAAGGCAUUCUAUCAAAAAUGAAAACAACCCAAGUUUCAAUAACUACUCCUGUAACUUUGGUUUCUUCAUAUCAAAUAAUCAAUUUCAUUUUCAGUGCCAAAGGCAAGAAUAAUUGCCCACGCCAGAUGGAGACCCAGCUAAAUAAUGUAGUAACAGCGCGUGGUCGUGUGAUGAGGGUUCCUUGACUUGAGUUCUGGCGCAACACGUCCUGGGCACUAAACAAGAUUGGGGAUGGGACGUCUAAAGAGGUGCAGGCCUGGAAAACGCUCUCGUCUUGCUCUACAGCACUUGCACUUGUCCCACCAUCUACCAGUGUUGGAACUCUUCCAAUAAUUACCCACACACAGGUGGAGAAUACUCCAGUUGCUGCUACUGCUACUCUAAAAUAUCUCUCAUCUUGUUCUACAGCGCCUGCACCUGUCCUACCAUCUACCAGUGUUGGAACUCGUCGAAGUGUAUUAAUGAUUAUUAUUUUAGUAACCAUAAAAGUUUAAAACAAUACAUUUUAUUGCAUAAUUAUUUGUUAGAAAAAACGACAAGUACAAAUGAGUAGGGAGGCUGUUGAUUUUUCAUGGUUAUUUUAUAUCUUGUUGAUUGUUCCAAAAAAAACUAAGUUUUCAAGAAUGCUGUGAUUAAAGUACCUAUAGUAUUAUAUUUAAAAUAAAAACUUAGUUUGUAAAGAGACGAAGGCUGACCACAAAAGAAGUACUUAUAGCUGUCUGUGUCUGUGUAAAGAAUUUAAAUAAAAAGAUGUGUAUAUUUAAACAGUUUUCUUUAUUUUAUUAGUCAUUUAUUCCUGUAAAUAAGCCCACACAGGGCACUUUUACAUGUCCCAACAUAACUUUACCCUACCACUUUGGCAGUAUUGUGGGUUAAGGCUGAUUAAAACGUGUUAAGUAGAUAAGUAGGUACCUACCUAACUACUUUAUUGACUUAAUUUUAAGUAAUUAAUUGCGUAGUAGUAUAGUACAAAACUUAUUGUUGAUGAAAAAGAACUCUUGUGUCUCACUAAAACUUAUUUCCAUUAACACCAAGCACUCACCGCUUACCACACUUUAUCUUUCAAAGAAAUAAAUUAACAAUUUGCAUACGAGGACGAGGAUAGAAUUACCUACACCUCGAGAAUUUAUACGAUUAUCAUGAGUUACGAGUCACCGCAAUCAUUUGAUAUUAGCAAUGGGCUCAUGAAACUUAGACAAUUCGAAUUUUCUGUCAAAAUCAUAUUCAUCAUUCACUCAUCGUAUAAAAUUACGAUCAAAUCGUUAUCAUAUCGUUAUCGUUUUAUGAACUCCUUACACAAUUAGAAUUAGCCGUUUGACACAUCAUAACGUACGUUAUGAACUGUCAAAUGAAUACGAUUGCCUUAGACAAUCGCACCACUGAUU
Ostrinia nubilalis (European corn borer) is the source of this 2092-nucleotide long non-coding RNA. RefSeq lists it as uncharacterized. The transcript has 4 exons. NCBI's taxonomy places the organism in Eukaryota, Metazoa, Arthropoda, Insecta, Lepidoptera, Crambidae. The record is from RefSeq and is a predicted model, not a curated record.